RNAcentral lists this ribosomal RNA (253 nucleotides) under uncultured bacterium. RNAcentral's name for it is "partial 16S ribosomal RNA". It matches the Rfam family "Bacterial small subunit ribosomal RNA", at positions 524 to 776 of the family's 1533-position model. The record is from RNAcentral.
UACAGGGGGGGCAAGCGUUGUUCGGAAUUACUGGGCGUAAAGGGUUUGUAGGUGGCUUGCUCAGUCAGACGUGAAAUCCCUCAGCUUAACUGGGGAACUGCGUCUGAUACUGGCGAGCUUGAGUGCAGGAGAGGAACGCGGAAUUCCAGGUGUAGCGGUGAAAUGCGUAGAUAUCUGGAGGAACACCGGUGGCGAAGGCGGCGUUCUGGACUGCAACUGACACUGAAAAACGAAAGCCAGGGGAGCAAACGGG